This 618-nucleotide ribosomal RNA is filed under the name uncultured bacterium. RNAcentral's name for it is "bacterial SSU rRNA". It matches the Rfam family "Bacterial small subunit ribosomal RNA", at positions 28 to 635 of the family's 1533-position model. The record is from RNAcentral.
AGCGAACGUUUGCGGCGGGCCUAACACAUGCAAGUCGAACGAGAAAACCUUCGGGUGAGUACAGUGGCGCACGGGUGAGGAACGCGUAGGUAAUCCACCCUCUGGCGGGGGACAACACUCCGAAAGGAAUGCUAAUACCGCGUAAGACCACACUCACUCCGGUGAGAGUGGUAAAAGGUGCCUCAAAGCACCACCAGAGGACGAGCCUGCGUCCCAUCAGCUUGUUGGUAAGGUAAUGGCUUACCAAGGCUAAGACGGGUAGCUGGUCUGAGAGGAUGAUCAGCCACACUGGCACUGGAACACGGGCCAGACUCCUACGGGAGGCAGCAGUGAGGAAUAUUGGGCAAUGGGCGAAAGCCUGACCCAGCCACGCCGCGUGUGUGAUGAAGGCCUUCGGGUCGUAAAGCACUGUGGGGAGAGACGAACCUGCGCAUGAGGAAAUGCAUGCGCACUGACGGUUCCUCCUUAGCAAGCACCGGCUAACUCUGUGCCAGCAGCCGCGGUAAUACAGAGGGUGCGAACGUUGCUCGGAUUUACUGGGCGUAAAGCGCGUGUAGGCGGGCAAGCAAGUCGGUUGUGAAAUCCCUGGGCUCAACCUAGGAACUGCAUCCGAAACUG